RNAcentral lists this ribosomal RNA (223 nucleotides) under uncultured bacterium. RNAcentral describes it as "partial 16S ribosomal RNA". It matches the Rfam family "Bacterial small subunit ribosomal RNA", at positions 111 to 334 of the family's 1533-position model. The record is from RNAcentral.
UAACGCGUGGGUAACCUGCCUCAUACAGGGGGAUAGCAGUUAGAAAUGACUGCUAAUACCGCAUAAGCGCACAGUGCUGCAUGGCACAGUGUGAAAAACUCCGGUGGUAUGAGAUGGACUCGCGUCUGAUUAGGUAGUUGGUGGGGUAACGGCCUACCAAGCCGACGAUCAGUAGCCGACCUGAGAGGGUGACCGGCCACAUUGGGACUGAGACACGGCCCAA